Molecule: RNA transcript, 7195 nt
Organism: Sabethes cyaneus
Lineage: Eukaryota; Metazoa; Arthropoda; Insecta; Diptera; Culicidae
Exons: 5
Source: RefSeq, a predicted model, not a curated record
UCGCGUACACAGCCGAACGUUCAGCCGGGGUAUGUUCCUUUAACGACCACGAUCAACUUCAGGUCGUAUGUUGACGUGCGGUGUAAAACAACAACAAAUAGAGACGAGUGAGUGACGGGACGGAAGAAAACAAUAAAAAUUAAGAAGUAAAUAGUAGUCAGGAUAAAAGGAAAGUUGUGCUAUUUAUAAUAGGGAGUGAGAUUUAUAAAACAAAUUUAAUUAAGCCUAAUUUGCACCAAAAAAUACCGUGUAUUUGAUUCGUGAAUUCAGGAUACAAAAGUUGAUCACUGUGAGUAAUGUGUGACUUGAUUAAAAGUUGUUAUUCUACCUAAAAACGAAAUGCAAAAUUUGUUAACCUAGAUAAAAACACACAUUAAAACUUACAGCUAAAGAUCGAGAACAAGGCAGGAGAAAAAUAGAUUAAAGUUAGUGUGAAAAUUAUUGGAAACGCUAAAAGGUGAAUCAAUUUUCUUAUUGCUCGAAGACAGCUGCUAGAGAAGAACGUGGCCGAUCUGCUGGAGGGAAAAAGAAACUAAAAAUCUUUGAUCUGCCAGAAAAUAAGGCUGAUUCCAAGGAAAUAGUUUCAUUUGUUCAAAGUAGUCCGAACAAAAUCAAAGAUUUUUAUCUCUCGGACAUAACCUCGAAAGAUGGCUAAUUCGAAGUCCGGCAGCUGCCUUCUGUGUUCGGAAGUGGACACAAACGAAAUGGUCCAAUGUGACCAGUGCGACGGAUGGGCGCAUUACGGUUGUGCUGGAGUGAAUGAUACGGUAAAGGAUCACCCGUGGAGCUGUCCGAAGUGCAGCAACUUUCUGCAAGUACCCAAAAAGAAAGGUGCUGCUGUCGCAACGUCGAAAAAGACCUCCACGGAUGGAAAGAAGACAAGUUCGAAGGGAGAAACUGGCUCAGUGAGUAGUGCUGUUUUGACAAUCGAAGAAUCUUUGCGAAAGAUGCAAGAAGAGAUGGAUGCCAAGGAGAAGGCCUUGGAGAACGAGCGCAUUCUACGUAGGAAACGGCUCGAAAUGGAACGUGCGAUGAAGGAGAAGGAAUUAAGCCUGGAGAGAGAACUACGCCAAAUGGAAUUGGACCAAGAGCGGGAGUUACGGGCAGAUCAGCUGAAACAGGAGCAGGAAUUGCUGAACCAGCGCCUGAAGGAAGAGGAAGAGUUUCUCAAAAGGCGAAACAAGCUGCGUGAACAGUUCAAAAAUGCAAAAAAAGUACUGGUUGAAAACUACGGCGGUACGGGUCGUGAAAAGGAAGAAGAUCAAAAAGAGGAUGGAGAUGAAGAAGGCGCUGUUGGUGGAAUUCCGGAUGAAGAAGAAGAGGAAGACUUUCAUCGGAAGGUAGAGGAUUGGCUCGAUAACCAGAAGCUUCAACAGAAACCUGUGGUGUCUGGUGCCAAGGCAACAAAGGGGCCCUUGCCCCCUCCCACUUUACCGAAAAACCCGAGUGCAAAUCGUCACGAUAUUCCAAAUAAUGAGGAUCCGUUCGAACGAUUGACUCGCGAUGAACGGAACUUAUUAGAAGGGCUAUUGGAUCGUACACGAAACGUGUCGAGGCCGGAACCGGUAGGGCUCUCCCAAGCGCAAAUAUCCGCUCGACAGUCCAUUUCCAAGCAGUUACCGGUGUUUAGGGGCGAGGCUGAACUCUGGCCGAUUUUCAUCAGUAGCUAUGAGUAUACCACCGAAGCGUGUGGAUUUUCUAACCUGGACAAUUUGAAGCGCCUGCAGGACAGCCUAAAAGGGGAUGCUCUAGAAGCCGUGAGAAGUCGGCUGGUCCUCCCUGACUCGGUUCCCGAUGUAAUCCGCGAUCUCCGGAAUUUGUUCGGGAGGCCUGAGAAGCUUUUAAAAACGCUGCUGAUGAAAGUGCGCCAGGCCAAGUCACCAAGAGCUGACCGUUUAGAAACAUUCAUACAUUUCGGUAUAACGGUCAAGCAGCUCUGCGACCACUUAGAAGCUGCGAAGCUCGUGGAUCAUUUGAGCAACCCCAUGUUGGUCCAAGAGCUUGUGGAUAAGCUCCCUCCAAACUACAAGCUGGAUUGGGUCCGCUACAAACGGAACCAAGUCGGCACUCCAUUAAGGAUCUUUACCGAAUUCAUGAACGGUAUUGUUUCCGAUGUCUCCGAGGUCAGCGAAUUCUCCACUCACGAUCUUCACGAUCACAGUGAACGUUCCGCGCGAGCGAAGCAGAACAAGAAGGAGUUUGUCCACGUCCACAACUCCUUCCCCGGCAAAAGGGAAACGACGCCGAAUGUGAAAAGUGAAAAGCCGUGCUGGGUGUGCAAGAGGACUGAUCACAAGAUCAGGUUUUGCGACGACUUCCGUAAACUAAACAUCGCAGAACGUCUAAAGCUGGUCGAAAGGUUCAAGUUGUGUGAACUGUGCCUUAAUAACCAUGGAAAGAGCCGCUGCAACUUUAAGAUUCGCUGCAACGUGGCAAACUGCCAAGGAGGACAUAAUCCGCUUUUGCACCGUUCCGAAGAAAUUGUCCAGAUAAUGGAGGUCCAGUGUAAUGCUCACAACCGCCUAAAUCGCUCCGUGUUGUUUAGGAUGCUACCGGUUACGCUUCACGUCGGGAACCGAGGACUGGAUAUCCUUGCAUUUUUGGAUGAGGGGUCCUCCAUUACCCUGGUCGAGGAUUCUAUCGCCAACAAGUUGAAGAUCAACGGAACAGCUGAGCCGCUAGUCGUCACAUGGACUGGGAACAUGAAGCGCUUCGAGAACGGUUCUCGGAAAGUGGAUCUGAUGGUAUCCGCUAGAGGCUCAACCGAGCAGUUCCCGCUACGAGAAGCUCGCACCGUUGCGGAACUCAUUUUGCCUAAACAGGAGAUGCAAUUCCGCGAGAUCGCGGCACGCUAUCCCCACUUACAGGGCCUACCGGUUGAGGAUUAUGACGCAGAAGAACCGAAAAUGAUGAUCGGGUUGGACAACAUGCACGUAUUCGCUCCGCUCGAAUCUAGGGUUGGUAGACCGGGCGAGCCUAUCGGUGUUCGGUCGCAAUUAGGCUGGACAGUCUACGGACAGGAGAACCAGUGUUCGUUGUCGAGUGCGGUGGUGAAUUUUCACGCAGUGGAGCCAGUGAGCAACCAGGCGUUGCACGAUAUGAUUCGCAGCCAAUACGUGAUGGAGGAAGCAGGAGUUACACCGGCCGGAAUUCCGGAGUCGGCCGAAAACGAACGUGCUCGUGAGAUUCUUCAAAGUACGACGGUUCGUGUUGGAUGUCGUUUCGAGACAGGGCUCCUGUGGCGCGAUGACGAGCGGAAGUUCCCUGACAGCUAUCCGAUGGCUGUGCGCAGGAUGCAAGCAUUGGAGAGGAAGCUGUUAAAAAACGAGGCGUUGCGGCAGAAUGUGGAGAAGCAGAUCACCGACUAUCAAUUGAAGGGUUACGCGCACAUUGCUACGCCGGCUGAACUCGUCGACACCGAUCCAGCAGCAGUAUGGUAUCUACCCCUUAACGUUGUGACGAACCCUAAAAAGCCGGGAAAGGUGCGCCUUGUGUGGGACGCAGCUGCAACAGUAAACGGCGUUUCCCUGAAUACAGAACUGUUAAAGGGGCCUGACAUGCUGACGUCUCUCCCGGCAGUAAUUCAACGCUUUCGUGAGCGUAGCGUCGGGUUUGGUGGUGACAUACAGGAAAUGUACCACCAGAUCCGGAUCAGAGCGGAGGAUAAACAGGCGCAACGGUUCCUGUAUCGUCCUUCAAGUAACGACAAACCGCAGGUGUUCGUCAUGGACGUGGCGACUUUCGGAUCGACUUGCUCACCUUGCUCUGCGCAAUUCAUCAAGAACUUAAACGCAGAGGAGCACGCGGAGCAGUAUCCGGAAGCGGCGGUAGCGAUUGUGAAAAACCAUUACGUCGACGACUAUUUCGACAGUCUAGACACGGCUGAGGAGGCAAUUAGGAGAGCCCAGGAGGUGAAAGCUAUCCAUUCCCGUGGCGGUUUCAACAUCCGAAACUGGGUCUCAAAUUCGUCGGAGUUUCUGCGAGAGAUGGGAGAGCAACGCGACAGCAGCGCGGUGCGCUUUCACCAGGACAAGCAAGCCGAAACAGAACGGGUGCUCGGGAUCGUCUGGGAUUCUGAAGAAGAUGAGUUUUCCUUCUCCACCAUCACCAAUGCAGGAUUCCAGUUGAAGAUCUCAGGUGAAGUGCGGCCAACGAAGAGGAACGUUCUCAGCUGCGUCAUGGCGAUGUUCGAUCCGUUGGGCCUACUAGCACCGUUCACGAUAUCCGGGAAAAUGUUGAUUCAGGACUUGUGGAGGACCGGGUGUGAAUGGGAUGAGCAAAUCGACGACGAAUCGAUGGAGAAAUGGAUGCGGUGGGUUGAGUUGCUGCCGACGAUUGCGGAGAUCAGGAUUCCGCGAAGCUAUUUCGGGAAAGCACACUCUCAACAAGUGAAAGACCUGCAGCUUCAUAUAUUCACCGAUGCUGGAGAGAAGGCGUAUGGGUGCGUAGGAUAUUUUCGUGCCAUCGUCAACGAAGAGAUCGUUUGUGUGCUGGUGAUGAGUCGUACCAAGGUUGCCCCGCUGAAGCAACUGAGUAUUCCACGGCUAGAACUGCAGGCCGCAGUGCUGGGCGCCAGGUUAGUGCGCACCGUUCAAGAGAGCCACAGUUACAAGAUCCAGCAAACGUUCCUCUGGACCGAUUCGCGGACGGUCUUGUCUUGGAUUAGAUCGGAUCAGCGAAGGUAUAAGCCAUUCGUCGGUUUUCGCAUUGGAGAAAUCCUCAGCCGUACGAAUCUGUCCGAUUGGCGUUGGACACCGACGAAACUAAACGAGGCAGACAGACUUACGAAGUGGAGGCGUGAUGCAGAGUUGGAAUCGAACAGUAGCUGGUUCAAAGGGCCCAGUUUUUUGUACCAAGACGAGGCGAACUGGCCGCAGCAGACUGCGCCGGCCAACACGAAAGAAGAGCUACGGGCGCAGUUCCUGUUUCACGACGUGGUUGUGCAGGACACUCUGGUCGACGUUCAUCGGUUCUCCAAAUGGAACGUGUUAGUAAGGACGGUGGCUUGCGUAUGCAGAUUCGGGUCCAACUGUCGAAGGCGAAUGAAAGGCGAUCCGAUCGAAACUUUGAAGGCGACGAAGAACCAGGCGAAGUCGUUGAGGUCGGUGAAGUGGUCAGCAGUACGUACACCGUUGAAGCAGGAGGAAUUCCAGCAGGCGGAGCGGUAUCUAUUACGAGCGGUUCAGGCCGAAGCGUUCGGGGAUGAGUUGAAAACCUUGAUGAAGAAUCGAAACAGACCUACGAGUGAGUGGAUAGUCUUGGAGAAGUCGAGCCCACUGUACAAGUUGACGCCACUGGUCGACGAAAACGACGUGAUUCGGAUGGAAGGACGUACGGAGAAAGCCGAAUUCUUACCAUUCGAUCUGCGCUUUCCAGUGAUUCUACCGAGAGACCACCAUGUGACGGAGUUGAUCGUGCAGCACUACCACGAACGCUUCGGGCACGGUUAUCGAGAAACGGUUAAAAACGAGAUACGGCAGCGGUUCUACAUUCCAAAGGUCGGUACGGUGGUGUACAAAGUAUCGAAGGCGUGUCAGUGGUGUAAGGUUCAUCAUAGUCGUCCACGGGUCCCGAGGAUGGCAGCUUUACCGGUACAGCGUUUGCAACCCUAUCGACGACCGUUCAGUUUCACCGGAAUAGACUACCUCGGCCCAGUUAACGUUACGGUAGCGCGUCAUAGCGAAAAGCGCUGGAUAGCCGUGUUCACCUGCUUCGUGACGCGCGCUGUUCACCUAGAAGUGAGUGCUAGCCUGACCACACAGUCGUGUUUGAUGGCUAUUCGUCGCUUCAUACAUCGUAGAGGGCCACCGCAAGAGUUCUUCUCCGACAACGGGACUAACCUGAAAGGUGCAAGCAAGGAGCUGACAGGGAUGAUCAACGAUAUCAACAGCGGCUGCGCGGACGAGUUAACCGACGCGCGGAUGCAGUGGUCAUUCAACCCACCAGCUGCCCCCCACAUGGGUGGGGUAUGGGAGCGAUUGGUCAGAUCGGUUAAGGAGGCGUUGGAAGCAUUGAACGACGGGAAGCGGUUGACAGAUGAAAUUCUACACACGUCAGUAACAGCAGCAGAAGAUAUGAUUAACUCGAGGCCGCUGGUGUACGUUUCGCAGGAGACAGUUGAGGCAGAAGCACUCAGUCCGAACCACUUUCUGCGAGGUGUUUCGCCAAACGAGCCACAGAUGGUUCCCCCUCCACCGCACCCUGCUGAAGUGUUGCGGGAUGCAUAUAAGCGUUCGCAGGAGUUGGCGCAGGAGAUGUGGGGCCGAUGGAUCAAGGAGUACGUGCCGUCGUUGAACCAGCGGUCGAAAUGGCACGGUGAAGCGAGAGUGCUGAAGAAAGGCGACCUAGUCUACGUAGUCGAGGGGUCCAAGCGAAGAUCCUGGGUACGUGGAAGAAUCGAGGAGGUCAUCCCGGCGAGUGACGGCCGCGUUCGGCAGGCCUUGGUCCGGACGAGCAGUGGUUUGUUUCGGCGAGCUGUGGCGCAGUUGGCUGUGAUCGAGGUUGGCGAAGAAGAUGGUGGUAAAGCCAGACCGGAAGUGGCCUCCGGACUAGGUUUACGGGCCGGGGAAAUGUUGGGAGCACUGCACUGAGCGCAUCGCGUACACAGCCGAACGUUCAGCCGGGGUAUGUUCCUUUAACGACCACGAUCAACUUCAGGUCGUAUGUUGACGUGCGGUGUAAAACAACAACAAAUAGAGACGAGUGAGUGACGGGACGGAAGAAAACAAUAAAAAUUAAGAAGUAAAUAGUAGUCAGGAUAAAAGGAAAGUUGUGCUAUUUAUAAUAGGGAGUGAGAUUUAUAAAACAAAUUUAAUUAAGCCUAAUUUGCACCAAAAAAUACCGUGUAUUUGAUUCGUGAAUUCAGGAUACAAAAGUUGAUCACUGUGAGUAAUGUGUGACUUGAUUAAAAGUUGUUAUUCUACCUAAAAACGAAAUGCAAAAUUUGUUAACCUAGAUAAAAACACACAUUAAAACUUACAGCUAAAGAUCGAGAACAAGGCAGGAGAAAAAUAGAUUAAAGUUAGUGUGAAAAUUAUUGGAAACGCUAAAAGGUGAAUCAAUUUUCUUAUUGCUCGAAGACAGCUGCUAGAGAAGAACGUGGCCGAUCUGCUGGAGGGAAAAAGAAACUAAAAAUCUUUGAUCUGCCAGAAAAUAAGGCUGAUUCCAAGGAAAUAGUUUCAUUUGUUCAAAGUAG